Molecule: long non-coding RNA, 254 nt
Filed under: Sorghum bicolor (sorghum)
Lineage: Eukaryota; Viridiplantae; Streptophyta; Magnoliopsida; Poales; Poaceae
Description: long non-coding RNA (SBIC_LNC008836)
Source: RNAcentral
GGGGAUAGGGCGGGCGCCCUCUGUAGGUGGGCAGGCGCCCACCUUCAGUGGCCAUCCUGGCUAUCUUUUCUCCACUCCGUCCUUUGCUUGGCUCUUACGCAGAUUAAUAGUUCAUGGGUGGUGGUUGGUCGGUGGAAAAGUGCUGGUGAGUGGAGUUAUGUUGGUGGAUCAAAUAAUGUGAUGGGAUGUGUGUGAGGUGUGGUGUAUGACAUGUGGGACCCAAGUAGUGUGUGUCAUGCUUCUAGAAGGUUGCU